This 1111-nucleotide long non-coding RNA is filed under the name Macaca mulatta (Rhesus monkey). RNAcentral describes it as "lncRNA (ENSMMUG00000056062.1)". Lineage: Eukaryota; Metazoa; Chordata; Mammalia; Primates; Cercopithecidae. The record is from RNAcentral.
GAUAUUCUCCUGAACAAUCUGAAGUCACAACCACCACCUUGAAACCUCCAGGAAGUCAAUGUUGCAAACUCACUUAAUUUUAUUAUUAAGUCUUGCCCCAUGAAAUAUUUGCGAGAUGGAGCCAACAGCUAAGGGACGGACUGAGAAGAGUUUCAGCUAUGUCAUCAGAGCCCCCAGCAGUGAGGGGUUCGACAUAAUGAACGUUGAUGUGAAGAUUGACACAUCCUGGAUAUUCCAGGACAUGGAAGAUAGUGCUGAGGAGCAGGCAGGUCUUCAGGAAGAAGCAGCUGGUCACCCAGACGUGGAUACGGGGGCCCUCAGGAGGCAGCUGGAGUCCUCCCAGCAGAAGCUGUCAGCAGCGGUGGACAAGUACGUGACAUCAGAGUCCGGGCUGAGAAGCAGAAUUCAGGAGCUGGAGCUGUCAGAGAGGAAACUCCUCCGGAAGGUGGACCAGCUGAACAUCCACGUGGCUCAGGAGAGAAGCGCCUGGCUGCAGGCCCAGGAGAAGCUGGCCGCGCUGCAGGGGGAGCUGGCCAGCCAGAUCCGGGAGAAGGAGAGCGUGGCCAGGCGGCAGCAGUGGCGGCUGCGGCGGUUGCAGGAGCGGUUGCGGCGCAAGGACGAGGCACUGGGGCAGCAGGCGGCGGCCCUGGAGCGCUGCCGGCGGACCCAGCGGCGCCAGCUGGGCCUGGUGCGCGAGCAGGAAUGCGUCCUGCGGGCACAGGUGCAGCGGCUGGAGCUCGACGUGCGACGCCUCUGCCACGCCGCGGGCCUCCUGCUGGCCCAGCGGGACAUCGCGGCCUCGGGCCUCCAGAGCGCCCCCGAGGCGACCGCGGAACUGCGCGCCCUGCAGGCGAGGGCAGAGCGCAGCGAGCACGAGCGAGAGGAGGCAGCGCGCAGGCUGCAGCAGCACAGGGCCACAGAGCGCCAGCUCCGCGGGCAGCUGGAGGAGCUGCGCUGCUUCAUCUAUGGGCUGAAACUGUCAGAGAUCGGCCUGCAGUGCCAGGUGGAGGACCUCACCCAGCAGAACCAGUGCCUGCGAGAGGAGCUGGGAGCCCAGGCCCCUGUUGGUCACUGCAGCCUGGUAAGUGGCAGCAACCCAGGGCAGGAGUGA